UAUUUGUUUUUUACCGAAAAGGUUUGAUUUUUAUUUUAGUUGCGUUAGCGCAUAUCUUCGGGUAGAGUUAUAAACUAGAAUAACGUUGUUAUAAAUUAGUCGUUUUCUUUUAUAUCUGUUUAUUGUCAUAGCUUUCAAUUUAUUUACGGGGCAGUGAGGUCCUGUAUAGGAACACAUGAUUUUUAUAUCUUUUUCUAAACAGGGUUAAAAUCACCCUAUUAUAGUAGUUUCGUUAUAGAUUUUAUUAUAGUUAAUUACAUUGUGGUUAAAUGACAUUUAUAUUCAAUAUUUUGUUUUAUAUAUGAUACAAUAAGUAACUAAAUAAAUUAUAUUGUUUCUCAAGCGCAUUCCGUAUGUUUAUUAAAAACAUUUCUAUAAAAAAUUUUUUAUAGUAGGGCCUGCUCGRUGUUUAAUUAUCAAUGGCCGCAGUAUCUUGACUGUGCGAAGGUAGCAUAAUUAAUUGCCCUUUAAUUGGGGGCUUGUUUGAAUGGCUUGACGUGGUUGCCGUGAACAUUAUUUUUGUUUUUGAAAUUAAUUUUGAGGGCACAGAAUCCUCUAAUUUUAAUAAGACGGAAAGACCCCGGGAUCUUACAUUUUGCCUGGGGCAGGUUAUAUUUUUUCAAAUUUUAUAUUAAGAUCCUAUAUUUGGUUUAUUGAUUUAAGUUACCCCGGGGAUAACAGUGUAAUAAUUUAUUAGAGAUCGUAUCGAUUAAAUUGUUUGCCACCUCGAUGUUGACUUAGGCUUAUAACUAGGCGCAGUAGUUUUGUUAUGUGGU
RNAcentral lists this ribosomal RNA (776 nucleotides) under Bothriocephalus scorpii. Its description in RNAcentral is "partial 16S ribosomal RNA". The stretch from base 345 to 505 matches the Rfam family "Bacterial large subunit ribosomal RNA", at positions 1791 to 2013 of the family's 2925-position model. The record is from RNAcentral. Lineage: Eukaryota; Metazoa; Platyhelminthes; Cestoda; Bothriocephalidea; Bothriocephalidae.